GACGAACGCUGGCGGCGUGCUUAACACAUGCAAGUCGAACGGAAAGGCCCUGCUUUUGUGGGGUGCUCGAGUGGCGAACGGGUGAGUAACACGUGAGUAACCUGCCCUUGACUUUGGGAUAACUUCAGGAAACUGGGGCUAAUACCGGAUAGGAGCUCCUGCUGCAUGGUGGGGGUUGGAAAGUUUCGGCGGUUGGGGAUGGACUCGCGGCUUAUCAGCUUGUUGGUGGGGUAGUGGCUUACCAAGGCUUUGACGGGUAGCCGGCCUGAGAGGGUGACCGGCCACAUUGGGACUGAGAUACGGCCCAGACUCGUACGGGAGGCAGCAGUGGGGAAUAUUGCACAAUGGGCGGAAGCCUGAUGCAGCAACGCCGCGUGCGGGAUGACGGCCUUCGGGUUGUAAACCGCUUUCGCCUGUGACGAAGCGUGAGUGACGGUAAUGGGUAAAGAGGCACCGGCUAACUACGUG
Molecule: ribosomal RNA, 468 nt
Filed under: uncultured bacterium
Lineage: Bacteria
Description: partial 16S ribosomal RNA
Rfam family: Bacterial small subunit ribosomal RNA
Source: RNAcentral